This 117-nucleotide non-coding RNA is filed under the name Sorex araneus (European shrew). The record is from RNAcentral. Lineage: Eukaryota; Metazoa; Chordata; Mammalia; Eulipotyphla; Soricidae.
AAGUUGUAGGAAAGGAGAGAAGGUUUGCAUUCCCCCUGACAGAUGGAAGAGGGUUCGGCAACAAGCACAUGGUUAAGACAGCACCACCGACUUCGUGCCAUCUGACCAACGUUCUUU